Molecule: ribosomal RNA, 449 nt
Filed under: uncultured prokaryote
Description: bacterial SSU rRNA
Rfam family: Bacterial small subunit ribosomal RNA
Source: RNAcentral
UCGAGAAUCAUUCACAAUGGGCGAAAGCCUGAUGAUGCGACGCCGUGUGAGCGAAGAAGGCCUUCGGGUUGUAAAGCUCUUUCGCCUGAGAACAAGAGAAGUCGACGAAUAAUCGGCUAAUUUGAGGGUAUCAGGUAAAGAAGCACCGGCUAACUCCGUGCCAGCAGCUGCGGUAAUACGGAGGGUGCAAGCAUUAAUCGGAUUUACUGGGCGUAAAGAAUGCGUAGGCGGUUUUGCAAGUCAGAUGUGAAAUUCCGGAGCUUAACUCCGGGACUGCAUUUGAAACUACAGAACUAGAGGAUAGACGGAGAAAGUAGAAUUCCAUAUGUAGCGGUGGAAUGCGUAGAUAUAUGGAGGAAUACCGGUGGCGAAGGCGACUUUCUAGUUUAUUCCUGACGCUGAGGUAUGAAAGCUAGGGGAGCAAACAGGAUUAGAUACCCCCGUAGUCC